AGUGAACGCUGGCGGUAGGCCUAACACAUGCAAGUCGAACGGCAGCACAGUAAGAGCUUGCCCUUACGGGUGGCGAGUGGCGGACGGGUGAGGAAUACAUCGGAAUCUACUUUUUCGUGGGGGAUAACGUAGGGAAACUUACGCUAAUACCGCAUACGACCUACGGGUGAAAGCAGGGGAUCUUCGGACCUUGCGCGAUUGAAUGAGCCGAUGUCGGAUUAGCUAGUUGGCGGGGUAAAGGCCCACCAAGGCGACGAUCCGUAGCUGGUCUGAGAGGAUGGUCAGCCACACUGGAACUGAGACACGGUCCAGCCUCCUACGGGAGGCAGAAGUGGGGAAUAUUGGACAAUGGGCGCAAGCCUGAUCCAGCCAUACCGCAUGGGUGAAGAAGACCUUCGAGUUGUAAAGCCCUUUUGUUGGGAAAGAAAAGCAGCAGGUUAAUACCCCGCUGUUCUGACGGUACCCAAAGAAUCAGCACCGGCUAACUUCGUG
Molecule: ribosomal RNA, 492 nt
Filed under: uncultured bacterium
Lineage: Bacteria
Description: partial 16S ribosomal RNA
Rfam family: Bacterial small subunit ribosomal RNA
Source: RNAcentral